This 23-nucleotide unclassified non-coding RNA is filed under the name Mus musculus (house mouse). RNAcentral's name for it is "oocyte_clustered_small_RNA8339". The record is from RNAcentral. Lineage: Eukaryota; Metazoa; Chordata; Mammalia; Rodentia; Muridae.
AUGUGGCUUGUGCCAGUUAGGAG